Molecule: long non-coding RNA, 2287 nt
Organism: Mauremys mutica (yellowpond turtle)
Lineage: Eukaryota; Metazoa; Chordata; Testudines; Geoemydidae
Exons: 3
Source: RefSeq, a predicted model, not a curated record
GUCAUCCUCUGUGCAUUACAGAAGGAAGGAGGGAACCCAGGAGAAGGGCAGAACCCUGGACUGCGUGGAUGUGCCAAGACUUGCUUUUAAUGUAUUUCCUGCUCUAUCUAGAAGGGAAGAACAAAGAAUCUAGUGAGACCCUCUUCUGAUGAGAUGUCCACAGCAAUUUAAAUACGUUCAGAAGAUCUGGAUACAUGAUAUGUUCUAGAUCAUAUUCAAAACCACGGUCCUGACCACUUGUUGGUGUUGAUGGAAGGAGGGUGUCUCGGCCCAAUUCCCACUGACAUUUACCAUUCAAAUUUUAUGCAGGGAAAACAUAGGAUCUGGCCCAUUGCAGCUACUGUGAACAAAUAGGCAGGGCCUGGGGUUCUCAGAUGGUAUAUAACACCAUAGCCCUACUUCAAUUGAGUUAUGCUGAUUGACACCAGCUGAGGAGAUGACCACCGCUUCUUUAGUCCACAAAUAUGAAAAGAGAUUAGAAAAAGAGACCAACAUACCCUGAAAUUGUUCCACAGUAACAUCUCCAGUAUAACCAGCUAUCAACAGCCUGAUCUUCAAUGAACAAAUUACAAUUUUGAUUAGCUUUUACAAACAUUCAUCUUUUGCUGCCUAAUUCAGGCUGCAAAACCCUUUCAACUAAAUGACUUGCUGUUGCACAGUGUACCAUUAGCUUAUAAAAACCUGCUGCUGUAAGCAUCCAUUACCACAAAGCUGCUAGUGACAUAUUGAUUUUCAAGCUGCAGCUGAUCCCCCUUGAGACUACAGAGCAUAUGGCUGUUUGUUAGACCUGCUGGGUAAAACAUGUUGAUGACAAAAGAAAAAAUGAAGUCCUUUAUUGUCGGUGUGACUUCUUGUUUCAUUAUUUAAAAAAAAAAUGAAAUGUUAAUUGUAUUUAGACUGAGCUCUCUUAAGUACAGGUUCUUGGUCUUUCUCUGUAUUUCAGCAGUAGUUGGUAAUGCUUUAGUACUAUGGCUCUAAUAAUUAAACACAUUAGAAUUUUGAACCUUGAAAGCUAGGUAUUGGAAGACCAUAUUAGGCAGUAUCUCUUUUUACAAACUAGAAUUCAGAUUAUAGUAAAAGACGUGCCUUCAAUGGGUUUUGGAUCAGGCUUCAAGAAAAGAACACCUGUAAAAGAAAUUUCUUGUUUACCCCAUUGAGUUCCUUCCAAUAUGUCUAUAUAUUGGUGUAUCAUAACGUCCAUAUUUAGCAUAAAAUCAGAUUCAUUUACACUUUUGAAUAUUAACAUGUACAAUUAAUUUUUAAAACCUAGAUGUAGGUGACAAGACCUCAGCAGAGGUGCUCAAUAGGGACCUGCUUUUUUUUGCUUUCUAUAUCUAGUCAUCGAAUACUUGCAUAAACUCCAGUCUACAUUGAGCAGCAGAUCCGUCUGCACUGAGCAGAAUGCUUAAAUGUAUGCAGCAAAUCUCAAAUUCAGAGUUAGCAGAAUGAUGACCCUUAAAUAGUGCAGCCUAAAUGUAAACCCCCAUUUCUUAUACUUAUUUCAUGAUGUUCAGCCAAUAACACUUUUAUUGCUGUAUUUACAGGGGCUGUUUCUACAUGCUCUGAGUUGGUAUGGAAACAUUCUGGACAUGGUGGCAGUAUAGCGCCUUGAGUGACUGUAAAGAAGUAGUUGCUAUUUCAGCACACUAGAGGGAGUGCAGGAAGUUGCUAACCAGGCUCCGUAGCUGUUUUGAAGCUAACGUUGCAGGAGUCAUUAAGGGCAAACGUUCCUGCAUGUACCACAUACCAUUUUAAUUAGAAGCUGUAAACACCUGGCCAAUCAGUAGUAAGUUCUGUCAUAGGUACAAAACUGGUCUCCAUUUGAGCAUCAGUCAGAUCCAACCCAGCCCUGCAGGGAGAAAACAGAGCUGCCUUGGGUAACUCAGACUGAAUUGGGUGGGUGGUGGAACCAGAGACCGUGUGAGCCUAACAAUUGCAAUAAUUGUCAAGUUUUCUUUCUUAUAUGAAGCUGUGUAUGUGAUCAGUGUUGUGGAAGCUGAAAUAACUGGUUAUACAGUACAACUAAAUGCUUUAUCUACUUGUCAAUAUAAUACAAAGGGUGAGCUGACGUGAAAGCUUAGUUUCCAUCUACUAUAUAUGGUGAGAAGAAUACAUAGAACCUUCAGAAUCAUGUCGUGUUAGUAAUGAGCGAGUGAGUGAGCAUACAAUUCAUGUGGUAGAUCCUUGAACAGCAUAUGACUGAUCUGGUAGCUCUCUGAAAGUAGAUCAAGACUUUAGUUCCAAAGAUGUUCUCUGAAGAAUGAUAGCCUGGGUCUGACAAGGAAGG